Molecule: long non-coding RNA, 1313 nt
Organism: Oncorhynchus tshawytscha (Chinook salmon)
Lineage: Eukaryota; Metazoa; Chordata; Actinopteri; Salmoniformes; Salmonidae
Source: Ensembl
CAAGGAGUGGACGAACAUGCACUUGUAUGAAAUGAUACUCUCAUCCAAUUGCGCGUUAUCAGGCAAAAAAACAAUAGCUGAUUCUAAAGGGCUACGGCAAAUUUCAAAAGUCUUCUGUGGAGGAUAUACUUGUCCUUUCUUGCCAAAAGGAGGCUAACGAGGAGGUUAGACUACGGCAAUGCUUUACUUUCCGGCUACCCAGAUAAAGCACUAAAUACACUUCAGUUAGUGCUAAAUACGGCUACUAGAAUCCUGACUACAACCAAAAAAUGUGAUCAUAUUACUUCAGUGCUAGCCUCCCUACACUGGCUUCCUGUUAAGGACCUGAGCCCUAGGACCAUGCCUCAGGACUACCUGGCAUGAUGACUCCUUGCUGUCCACAGUCCACCUGGCCGUGCUGCUACUCCAGUUUCAACUGUUCUGCCUGCGGCUAUGGAACCCUGACCUGUUCACCGGACGUGCUACCUGUCUCACACCUGCUGUUUUAAACUCUCUAGAGACAGCAGGAGCGGUAGAGAUGCUCCUAAUGAUCGGCUAUGAAAAUGUUAUAAUCUGUUAUAAUCUCCACCCGGCACAGCCAGAAGAGGACUGGCCACCCCUCAUAGCCUGGUUCCUCUCUAGGUUUCUUCCUAGGUUUUGGCCUUUCUAGGGAUUUUUUCCUAGCCACAUGCUUCUACACCUGCAUUGCUUGCUGCUUGGGGUUUUAGGCUGGGUUUCUGUACAGCACUUUGAGAUAUCAGCUGAUGUAAGAAGGGCUAUAUAAAUUGAUUUGAUUUGAACAGUUGAUGUUGAGAUGUGUCUGUUACUUGAACUCUAUGAAGCAUUUAUUUGGGCUGCAAUUUCUGAGGCUGGUAACUCUAAUGAACUUAUCCUCUACAGCAGAAGGUAACUCUGGGUCUUCCUUUCCUGUGGCGGUCCUCAUGAGAGCCAGUUUCAUCAUAGCACUUGGUGGUUUUUGCGGCUGUAUUUGAAGAAACGUUCAAAUUUCUUUAAAUUUUACAGAUUGACUGACCUUCAUAUCUUAAAGUAAUGAUGGACUGUCGUUUCUCUUUGGUUAUUGGAGUUGUUCUUGCCAUAAUAUGGACUUGGUCUUUUACCAAAUAGGGCUAUCUUCUCUAUACCACUCCUACCUUGUCACAACACAACUGAUUGGAUCAAACACAUUAAGAAGGAAAGACAUUCCACAAAUGAACUUUUAACAAGGCACACCUGUUAAUUGAAAUGCAUUCCAGGUGACUACCUCAUGAAGCUGGUUGAGGGAAUGCCAAGAGUGUGCAUAGCUGUCAUUAAGGCAAAGGGUGGCUACUUUGAAG